Pecten maximus is the source of this 501-nucleotide long non-coding RNA. RefSeq lists it as uncharacterized. The transcript has 2 exons. NCBI's taxonomy places the organism in Eukaryota, Metazoa, Mollusca, Bivalvia, Pectinida, Pectinidae. The record is from RefSeq and is a predicted model, not a curated record.
GUAUGGAAAGGAGUAUUAGGUGUACAGUGGUAGGUAUGUAAAGGAGUAUUAGAUGUAGUGGUAGGUAUGGAAAGGAGUAUUAGGUGUAGUGAUAGGUAUGGAAAGGAGUAUUAGGUGUAGUGGUAGGUAUGUAAAGGAGUAUUAGGUGUAGUGGUAGGUAUGUAAAGGAGUAUUAGAUGUAGUGGUAGGUAUGUAAAGGAGUAUUAGGUGUAGUGGUAGGUAUGUAAAGGAGUAUUAGGUGUAGUGGUAGGUUUGUAAAGGAGUAUUAGGUGUAGUGGUAGGUAUGUAAAGGAGUAUUAGGUGUACAGUGGUAGGUAUGUAAAGGAGUAUUAGGUGUAGUGGUAGGUAUGUAAAGGAGUAUUAGGUGUAGUGGUAGGUAUGUAAAGGAGUAUUAGGUGUAGUGGUAGGUAUGUAAAGGAGUAUUAGGUGUACAGUGGUAGGUAUGUAAAGGAGUAUUAGGUGUAGUGGUAGGUAUGUAAAGGAGUAUUAGGUGUAGUGGUA